Molecule: RNA transcript, 3176 nt
Organism: Dalotia coriaria
Lineage: Eukaryota; Metazoa; Arthropoda; Insecta; Coleoptera; Staphylinidae
Gene name: homeotic protein Sex combs reduced-like
Exons: 3
Source: RefSeq, a predicted model, not a curated record
UAUUGGGCAGUCGUGGCGCCGCUACGCAAUCGUCCCGACGCGGAUUUUCGUAACACACUCGUAUCACUAUCAUAUAGACCUCCACGUGUAGCAGUCGUAUCGAGACGCUUCGAGGAGAGUGAUCGGUCGCGUUUGCUAUCUGCUCUUAUACGAUUCCAAUUUCGACAAAUUUCUGACAAGUCGCGACAGAAGAAACUUCGUAUCGUGACGAUGUCAUCAUUCCAAGUGUGCACCUGAUCAUCGACAACUCUGCGUUUCGAGAAAUUCUGCCAUCGUUCAAAGUCAGAAUUUCGCGGGUUCAGUGUUUUCAUUCCGGCGUAGUUUUAUUUUGGUGUGAACAAUUGGUGACCGUAUAGGUAAAUCAUCCGGAAAUGAUUUAACGUCUGCGUUUCGCAUUACUUUUCGCGGAAUAAUUCGUAGACUAACAGUGUAUCAUUAAUGUUGAACAACAUAAUGAGUUCCUAUCAGUUCGUAAACUCAUUGGCCCAGUGCUACGGACAACAAGGACGAUCGACGGGCACCGACCAGGGACAUCAAAGCACAUCGGCCGGCGGUGAUUAUUACAAUCCAAAUGCGGCGGCAGCGGCGGCGGCGGCCAAUUACCCGCCAGCGUGUUACUCACCGCCGCAGGUGGCCCCGCAGUAUCCACAGCAUCCCUAUGCAACACCCGCCACUGGCCAUGGUCUUCAACCCACAAUGGGCGACUAUACGCAAUUGCAGCCGCAGCGAUUGGGCCAACAGCCACAUUUGCAUCACGCCAGCCCAGGCGCUCAAAGUCCCGGCAUGGGCUUGAAUCCUGCGGCCAGCUGCAAAUAUGCUGAUUCGACGUCGGCGGGUGCUGGUGGAGUGUCCUCCCCACAGGACUUGAGCACGUCCAGUGGUGGCCCACCCGGCAAUCGGGCCACGCCACCGCUGAGUAAUCAAGGCGGACAGAAUCCCAGCGUGACGAUAACGAAGAGCGUCGGGUUGACCUCGCCGCUCUCGGUGAGCACCUCACCGCAGGGCAAACAGGCCGCCUCGUCGACAGCCUCACAAAACCUAUCGUCGCCGGCGUCCAGCACCAGCUCAACAUCCAGCAACGAGAAAUCUGGCAACAACAACAAUUCCAAAGGUGGCAGCUCCUCAAACCCUCCACAGAUUUAUCCGUGGAUGAAACGCGUUCAUUUAGGACAAAGUACAGUGAAUGCGAAUGGUGAAACCAAAAGACAACGCACGUCCUACACCCGUUAUCAGACGCUGGAGCUGGAGAAGGAGUUCCAUUUCAAUCGGUACCUGACGCGGCGGCGACGCAUCGAAAUCGCCCACGCGCUCUGCCUCACCGAGCGCCAGAUCAAGAUCUGGUUCCAGAAUCGGCGGAUGAAGUGGAAGAAGGAGCACAAGAUGGCCAGUAUGAAUAUCGUUCCAUACCACAUGUCCCCGUACGGCCAUCCCUAUCAGUUCGAUUUGCAUCCCAGUCAGUUCGCGCAUUUGGCCACCUAAGCGCCGCUGGCCAACUCACCAAUUCCACGCCACCGCCGACCAACGCCGCCGAAAAAUCGAGAGACGCAUUUUGUACAGAAAGCAUGGGGUCGCUUUUUAAAACAAACUCCCCCCCGCACUAAGACUACAUUUCAUUAAGCGUUCGGAGCUAAGCAAAUUCUGUGCGAAUCUAGGAUAAUCGAUACAUAAAAAAUAAACGGAACGUUCACAUAUUAAAAUGCACGAUAUGCAAGAAAAUAUGAACGCCAUGCAAAUGGCAAACAGUUCGAUUGUGAUUACUAUUGUUUAUUAUAUUUUUGUUUGUUGCAAGAUAGCGAAUUUGUUAUGCGAAGCAAAUAGAUUUCCAUCUGGCAUCCCUCCAGGACGAAGGUUACGCAUUCCAUCAGGCGAUGGGGAUGGGAGGAAUGGGGCCCAUGCAGCGCGGCCUGUACGCAUGUGGCAGUCCGUACAGCUAGCCCUGGGCCACCUAUAACGGAGACUGCGGCCCUUCGUAGAUUCCCUACCCGCCGGUUCGCCACCUAGGACACUUCAAGGUUGCAGAGGCGAACGGCGACGGAAUCGCUGGGUCAGACGCUAUCGGAUUUGAGUCGAUCCCGCAUCGACGAUAGCAGUCUCCGGCUCGCGGUGACGCGGCGACACACACCUUACCAGCACCAACCCUUCGGAUACACCUGCUGAAGACACAGUGUGACGUCGCGAAGCACCGCGAGUUUCUUAUUUUUUAUGUACAAUACACGAACUCAUGAGAUAUUCACAAAACCUGAAAAACUUUGUUGUUGCACGUGCCAAUCGACUGUGCGUAAACUCGUAAAAUCCAAAAGUCAGUGCAAUAAUGACACAAUCGCGUGUCAAAGAUGGAAACUAUUUAUUUGUUACUCUAUUUUGUUUAUAAUUUUUUUUAUUAUUGCGAAUUUGUUCCUCUGAGGAUGUUAUAAGAAUCUAUAAGUACUGAGAAUGCGUUUUUGUCAUUUUGUGGUGGUGUCUCCAUGUAUAAACGAAGAUGAAGUCAAUUUGCAAAGAGCGAUAAAAAUUAAAAGACUAAUCUGCCAACUAGUAGCCAACUAGUAGCAUGAGCUGAUUAUGAAAUGCCAUUAAAUGUUCACAAUUGUAUUAAAAGACUAUGCGCACGCUCAACUAACACACAUCUUUAUGAAAUGACCUCAUCUUUGAUAGAAGUUUAAAUAGCGAAUUAAUUUAAUCAUCGAAUUGCAUCGAUUGAGAACAAACAAAUUGAGUAAAAAUGAUGAAUAAUGGCAACAAGUGUGAUUUUAAACUAUAAAUAAUGUAAUGAUAUUUAAAGAAACAAAUGUGUAUUAUUAUUAAUUAUUUAAGUCUAAUAUGAAGAUAUAAAUUAAUUUAAAAAUUGACGACGUCGCUGAGAAAUGGAAAAAUACACUACUAUUGUAAUAUUGUAAUAUUCUAUAUGAUAGUUUAUAGUCUAUUGUGAAUUGAAUGAGUAAUUGUGCAACAUGAAACACAACUUAAAUUAUAAUACAUUGUAAGAAUUGUAUGUAAGAAGAGGUGAGUUUGCAAAAACAAAAAAAUAAGCGGACGUGAAUGUGUUGCAAUUCGUGUGCAUGUCGCAAUUGUGGAAACAAAAAACAUGAAAAAAGUAUCAAUUUGUAGUGUUGUACAUAAAUAUACAUCAAGUGUAGUUUAUUAAUUAUUAAAUUAAAUUAUUAAUAAUAAGUAUCUAA